GCUGAGUGCGGUGGUGUACACCUAUAAUCCCAGCAGCCUGGGAGGCUGAGGCAGGAGGAUGGCAAGUUCAGAGCAACUCAGCGACUUAGCAAGGCUCUGAGCAACUUACCAAGACCCUGUCUCUA
RNAcentral lists this small RNA (125 nucleotides) under Marmota monax (woodchuck). The record is from RNAcentral. Lineage: Eukaryota; Metazoa; Chordata; Mammalia; Rodentia; Sciuridae.